GGGCCGUUAGCUCAGUCGGUUAGAGCAGAGGACUCAUAAUCCUUUGGUCCGGGGUUCGAACCCCCGACGGCCUACCA
RNAcentral lists this transfer RNA (77 nucleotides) under Rubrivivax gelatinosus. RNAcentral describes it as "tRNA-Ile". It matches the Rfam family "tRNA". From Rfam's summary of the family: Transfer RNA (tRNA) molecules are approximately 80 nucleotides in length. The record is from RNAcentral. RNAcentral also lists the same sequence under 1 other name. Lineage: Bacteria; Pseudomonadati; Pseudomonadota; Betaproteobacteria; Burkholderiales; Sphaerotilaceae.